GACGAACGCUGGCGGCGUGCUUAACACAUGCAAGUCGAACGGAAAGGCCCUGCUUUUGUGGGGUGCUCGAGUGCGAACGGGUGAGUAACACGUGAGUAACCUGCCCUUGACUUUGGGAUAACUUCAGGAAACUGGGGCUAAUACCGGGUAGGAGCUCCUGCUGCCUGGUGGGGGUUGGAAAGUUUCGGCGGUUGGGGAUGGACUCGCGGCUUAUCAGCUUGUUGGUGGGGUAGUGGCUUACCAAGGCUUUGACGGGUAGCCGGCCUGAGAGGGUGACCGGCCACAUUGGGACUGAGAUACGGCCCAGACUCCUACGGGAGGCAGCAGUGGGGAAUAUUGCACAAUGGGCGGAAGCCUGAUGCAGCAACGCCGCGUGCGGGAUGACGGCCUUCGGGUUGUAAACCGCUUUCGCCUGUGACGAAGCGUGAGUGACGGUAAUGGGUAAAGAAGCACCGGCUAACUACGUG
This 467-nucleotide ribosomal RNA is filed under the name uncultured bacterium. RNAcentral describes it as "partial 16S ribosomal RNA". It matches the Rfam family "Bacterial small subunit ribosomal RNA", at positions 28 to 507 of the family's 1533-position model. The record is from RNAcentral.